RNAcentral lists this unclassified non-coding RNA (271 nucleotides) under Hevea brasiliensis (rubber tree). Lineage: Eukaryota; Viridiplantae; Streptophyta; Magnoliopsida; Malpighiales; Euphorbiaceae. The record is from RNAcentral.
UAACAAGGUCGCAAACAAUGUAUAUUACAAGAUAUGAUAUUUCUUCUUUCACUGGGAUUUUUUGUCCCACAGUGCUUCUACAUAUUAGGAAACUUUACAUAAAGACUAAAUAUUCGGAGUUUCUAAAGCUGCACUCUUACUCCACAAUCACUAAAAACCUGCCAAGCAUAUGUUUGACGGUUUGAAUAGAUUGCGUCUUCAUCAGAUCUUUGUCAGGAAACAGCAAACCAGCAUAGAAAGAUAGGGUUGCCCUUAUCUCCUUGAGAACUUG